AUUGAACGCUGGCGGCAGGCCUAACACAUGCAAGUCGAACGGUAACAGGAAACAGCUUGCUGUUUCGCUGACGAGUGGCGGACGGGUGAGUAGUGUCUGGGAAACUGCCUGAUGGAGGGGGAUAACUACUGGAAACGGUAGCUAAUACCGCAUAACGUCGCAAGACCAAAGAGGGGGACCUUCGGGCCUCUUGCCAUCGGAUGUGCCCAGAUGGGAUUAGCUAGUAGGUGGGGUAACGGCUCACCUAGGCGACGAUCCCUAGCUGGUCUGAGAGGAUGACCAGCCACACUGGAACUGAGACACGGUCCAGACUCCUACGGGAGGCAGCAGUGGGGAAUAUUGCACAAUGGGCGCAAGCCUGAUGCAGCCAUGCCGCGUGUAUGAAGAAGGCCUUCGGGUUGUAAAGUACUUUCAGCGGGGAUGAAGGGAGUAAGGUUAAUACCUUUGCUCAUUGACGUUACCCGCAGAAGAAGCACCGGCUAACUCCGUG
Molecule: ribosomal RNA, 490 nt
Filed under: uncultured bacterium
Lineage: Bacteria
Description: partial 16S ribosomal RNA
Rfam family: Bacterial small subunit ribosomal RNA
Source: RNAcentral